GGCGGACGGGUGAGUAACGCGUGAGAAUCUGGCUCCAGGUCGGGGAUAACAGUUGGAAACGACUGCUAAUACCNGGAUGUGCCGAGAGGUGAAAGAUUUAUUGCCUGGAGAUGAGCUCGCGUCUGAUUAGCUAGUUGGUGGUGUAAGGGACCACCAAGGCGUCGAUCAGUAGCUGGUCUGAGAGGAUGAUCAGCCACACUGGGACUGAGACACGGCCCAGACUCCUACGGGAGGCAGCAGUGGGGAAUUUUCCGCAAUGGGCGAAAGCCUGACGGAGCAAUACCGCGUGAGGGAGGAAGGCUCUUGGGUCGUAAACCUCUUUUNUCAAGGAAGAAGAAAGUGACGGUACUUGAGGAAUAAGCAUCGGCUAACUCCGUGCCAGCAGCCGCGGUAAUACGGAGGAUGCAAGCGUUAUCCGGAAUGAUUGGGCGUAAAGGGUCUGCAGGUGGAACUGAAAGUCUGCUGUUAAAGAGUUUGGCUUAACCAAAUAAAAGCGGUGGAAACUACAGAACUAGAGUGCGGUAGGGGCAAAAGGAAUUCCUGGUGUAGCGGUGAAAUGCGUAGAUAUCAGGAAGAACACCGGUGGCGAAAGCGUUUUGCUAGACCGUAACUGACACUGAGGGACGAAAGCUAGGGGAGCGAAUGGGAUUAGAUACCCCAGUAGUCCUAGC
RNAcentral lists this ribosomal RNA (671 nucleotides) under Cylindrospermopsis raciborskii. RNAcentral's name for it is "bacterial SSU rRNA". It matches the Rfam family "Bacterial small subunit ribosomal RNA", at positions 97 to 800 of the family's 1533-position model. Lineage: Bacteria; Bacillati; Cyanobacteriota; Cyanophyceae; Nostocales; Aphanizomenonaceae. The record is from RNAcentral.